AUGGAUCUCUCUGAAAUUGUACCACAAUGUACCAUAUAACAAAGGAGAGGCUGGGAUUAAGUUUUGGGUUAAUUGCCCAAAAUAUGUAGGAAUUAGGGGCCAAAAAAGGGCCAAAAAGAAGCAUGUUUCUAGUUUCUAAACAAUCAUGACAAUAACUUGUGUUUAAGUGUAUGGAUCUCUCUGAAAUUGUACUACAAGGUUCAAUACUACAAAGGAAAGCAUGGGAUUGAGUUUAAGGGUAAUUGCUCCAAGAGGGAUUCAAAAAGUUUUGGGGGAUGGGGGUUUGGGGGGUUGUUCACCAUUUUUUGAAGGGCUUCGUUUUUUUUUCAAAAUUUUUCAAAUUUCGAAUUUUGAAAAGUUUCAAGAAAUCUCCAAUUGCACAGUAUUGCAUGUAUUGUGCAAUAGAUUUGUUAGAUCUUUGACUACAUUUAUUUUUUUGACAAAAACCUAUAUGUCAAAAAUUUGAUCACAAUCCAAAUUCAGACAGAAUCAAGCUUGAAUAUUGUAACCAAAUUUGGCCCAACUGUUCAGGGUUCAACCACUGGGGUCGUAUAAAGCUGCGCCCUGCAGAGCACCUGGUUAUAGUUCGUUUUCAUGUUGUUCUGUUAUACCACUGUCCCAGGUUAGGGGAAGGGUUGUUUUACAUUGUCAUAUCGGGGCCUUAUAUCAUGUAUAUAGCCAAAUAUUUGGUAUGGGCUUUACUCAUUGUUGAAGGCCGUACAGUGACCAAUAGCA
RNAcentral lists this long non-coding RNA (735 nucleotides) under Mytilus galloprovincialis (Mediterranean mussel). The record is from RNAcentral. Lineage: Eukaryota; Metazoa; Mollusca; Bivalvia; Mytilida; Mytilidae.